GACGAACGCUGGCGGCGUGCUUAACACAUGCAAGUCGAACGGAAAGGCCCUGCUUUUGUGGGGUGCUCGAGUGGCGAACGGGUGAGUAACACGUGAGUAACCUGCCCUUGACUUUGGGAUAACUUCAGGGGACUGGGGCUAAUACCGGGUAGGAGCUCCUGCUGCAUGGUGGGGGUUGGAAAGUUUCGGCGUUUGGGGAUGGUUUCGCGGCUUAUCAGCUGGUUGGGGGGGUAGGGGCUUACCAAGGGUUUGACGGGUAGGCGGCCUGGGAGGGUGGCCGGCCACAUUGGGACUGCGGUACGGCGCAGAAUCCUACGGGAGGCAGCAGUGGGGAAUAUUGCACAAUGGGCGGAAGCCUGAUGCAGAAACGCCGCGUGCGGGAUGACGGCCUUCGGGUUGUAAACCGCUUUCGAAUGUGACGAAGCGUGAGUGACGGUAAUGGGUAAAGAAGCCCCGGCUAACUACGUG
This 468-nucleotide ribosomal RNA is filed under the name uncultured bacterium. Its description in RNAcentral is "partial 16S ribosomal RNA". It matches the Rfam family "Bacterial small subunit ribosomal RNA", at positions 28 to 507 of the family's 1533-position model. The record is from RNAcentral.